AGUGAACGCUGGCGGUAGGCCUAACACAUGCAAGUCGAACGGCAGCACAGUAAGAGCUUGCUCUUACGGGUGGCGAGUGGCGGACGGGUGAGGAAUACAUCGGAAUCUACUUUUUCGUGGGGGAUAACGUAGGGAAACUUACGCUAAUACCGCAUACGACCUACGGGUGAAAGCAGGGGAUCUUCGGACCUUGCGCGAUUGAAUGAGCCGAUGUCGGAUUAGCUAGAUGGCGGGGUAAAGGCCCACCAAGGCGACGAUCCGUAGCUGGUCUGAGAGGAUGAUCAGCCACACUGGAACUGAGACACGGUCCAGGCUCCUACGGGAGGCAGCAGUGGGGAAUAUUGGGCAAUGGGCGCAAGCCUGAUCCAGCCAUACCGCGUGGGUGAAGAAGGCCUUCGGGUUGUAAAGCCCUUUUGUUGGGAAAGAAAAGCAGCAGGUUAAUACCCCGCUGUUCUGACGGUACCCAAAGAAUAAGCACCGGCUAACUUCGUG
RNAcentral lists this ribosomal RNA (492 nucleotides) under uncultured bacterium. RNAcentral's name for it is "partial 16S ribosomal RNA". It matches the Rfam family "Bacterial small subunit ribosomal RNA", at positions 29 to 507 of the family's 1533-position model. The record is from RNAcentral.